RNAcentral lists this ribosomal RNA (312 nucleotides) under uncultured soil bacterium. RNAcentral's name for it is "bacterial SSU rRNA". It matches the Rfam family "Bacterial small subunit ribosomal RNA", at positions 26 to 330 of the family's 1533-position model. The record is from RNAcentral.
AGAGUGAACGCUGGCGGUAGGCCUAACACAUGCAAGUCGAACGGCAGCACAGUGGUAGCAAUACCAUGGGUGGCGAGUGGCGGACGGGUGAGGAAUACAUCGGAAUCUACCUUUUUCGUGGGGGAUAACGUAGGGAAACUUACGCUAAUACCGCAUACGCCCUUCGGGGGAAAGCCGGGGAUCGCAAGACCUGGCGCGGAUAGAUGAGCCGAUGUCGGAUUAGCUAGUUGGUGAGGUAAUGGCUCACCAAGGCGACGAUCCGUAGCUGGUCUGAGAGGAUGAUCAGCCCACACUGGAACUGGAGACGACGGU